AACGAACGCUGGCGGCAUGCCUAACACAUGCAAGUCGAACGAGACCUUCGGGUCUAGUGGCGCACGGGUGCGUAACACGUGGGAAUCUGCCCUUUGCUUCGGAAUAACAGUUAGAAAUGACUGCUAAUACCGGAUGAUGUCGAAAGACCAAAGAUUUAUCGGCAAAGGAUGAGCCCGCGUAGGAUUAGGUAGUUGGUGGGGUAAAGGCCUACCAAGCCGACGAUCCUUAGCUGGUCUGAGAGGACGAUCAGCCACACUGGGACUGAGACACGGCCCAG
This 278-nucleotide ribosomal RNA is filed under the name uncultured bacterium. RNAcentral's name for it is "partial 16S ribosomal RNA". It matches the Rfam family "Bacterial small subunit ribosomal RNA", at positions 29 to 334 of the family's 1533-position model. The record is from RNAcentral.